Molecule: small nucleolar RNA, 131 nt
Organism: Dromiciops gliroides (monito del monte)
Lineage: Eukaryota; Metazoa; Chordata; Mammalia; Microbiotheria; Microbiotheriidae
Product: small nucleolar RNA SNORA64/SNORA10 family
Exons: 1
Source: RefSeq, a predicted model, not a curated record
UCCCUCCCUCCCUCUGCAGACUGUCUGGCCCCACCUGACAGGUUGGAGCAGGGGGGGGGGAGGGACGGGGCCUCCUAAUGGCCCAGCCCAGAAAAGGAGUAUCUUCUCUGCCCAUGAGGUGGGGGCCAGCA